GAACUUGUAGUUUAUUUAGAAUAUUGCACUUACAAUGCAAAGGUAAAGAAGUUUU
Molecule: transfer RNA, 55 nt
Filed under: Contracaecum osculatum A sensu Nascetti et al. (1993)
Lineage: Eukaryota; Metazoa; Nematoda; Chromadorea; Rhabditida; Anisakidae
Description: tRNA-Val
Source: RNAcentral